RNAcentral lists this ribosomal RNA (166 nucleotides) under Croton arnhemicus. RNAcentral describes it as "5.8S ribosomal RNA". It matches the Rfam family "5.8S ribosomal RNA". Rfam says of the family: 5.8S ribosomal RNA (5.8S rRNA) is a component of the large subunit of the eukaryotic ribosome. It is transcribed by RNA polymerase I as part of the 45S precursor that also contains 18S and 28S rRNA. Lineage: Eukaryota; Viridiplantae; Streptophyta; Magnoliopsida; Malpighiales; Euphorbiaceae. The record is from RNAcentral.
ACGACUCUCGGCAACGGAUAUCUCGGCUCUCGCAUCGAUGAAGAACGAAGCGAAAUGCGAUACUUGGUGUGAAUUGCAGAAUCCCGCGAACCAUCGAGUUUUUGAACGCAAGUUGCGCCCAAAGCCUUUCGGCCGAGGGCACGUCUGCCUGGGUGUCACGCAACAU